AGAGUUUGAUCAUGGCUCAGAAUCAACGCUGGCGGCGUGCCUAACACAUGCAAGUCGAACGAGAAAGUGGAGCAAUCCAUGAGUAAAGUGGCGACCGGGUGAGUAACACGUGACUAACCUACCUUUAAGUGGGGAAUAACCUCGGGAAACCGGGGCUAGUACCGCAUAAUACCGAGAGGUCAAAGGAGUAAUCCGCUUGAAGAGGGGGUCGCGGCUGAUUAGCUAGUUGGUAGGGUAAUGGCCUACCAAGGCAGUGAUCAGUAUCCGGCCUGAGAGGGCGCACGGACACACUGGAACUGAAACACGGUCCAGACUCCUACGGGAGGCAGCAGUGGGGAAUUUUGCACAAUGGGGGAAACCCUGAUGCAGCAACGCCGCGUGGAGGAUGAAGCCCCUUGGGGCGUAAACUCCUUUCGAUCGGGACGAUUAUGACGGUACCGGAAGAAGAAGCACCGGCUAACUCUGUGCCAGCAGCCGCGGUAAUACAGAGGGUGCAAGCGUUGUUCGGAAUUAUUGGGCGUAAAGGGCGCGUAGGCGGUGCGGUAAGUCUCUUGUGAAAUCUCCGGGCUCAACUCGGAGCCUGCAAGGGAAACUGCCGUGCUUGAGUAUGGGAGAGGUGAGUGGAAUUCCCGGUGUAGCGGUGAUAUGCGUAGAUAUCGGGAGGAACACCUGUGGCGAAAGCGGCUCACUGGACCAUAACUGACGCUGAGGCGCGAAAGCUAGGGGAGCAAACAGGAUUAGAUACCCUGGUAGUCCUAGCCCUAAACGAUGAUUGCUUGGUGUGGCGGGUACCCAAUCCCGCCGUGCCGGAGUUAACGCGAUAAGCAAUCCGCCAGGGGAGUACGGUCGCAAGGCUGAAACUCAAAUGAAUUGACGG
RNAcentral lists this ribosomal RNA (877 nucleotides) under uncultured bacterium. Its description in RNAcentral is "bacterial SSU rRNA". It matches the Rfam family "Bacterial small subunit ribosomal RNA", at positions 8 to 916 of the family's 1533-position model. The record is from RNAcentral.